This 520-nucleotide ribosomal RNA is filed under the name uncultured bacterium. RNAcentral describes it as "bacterial SSU rRNA". It matches the Rfam family "Archaeal small subunit ribosomal RNA", at positions 345 to 866 of the family's 1478-position model. The record is from RNAcentral.
AACCUCCGCAAUGUGAGAAAUCGCGACGGGGGGAUCCCAAGUGCCAUUCUUAACGGGAUGGCUUUUCAUUAGUGUAAAGAGCUUUUGGAAUAAGAGCUGGGCAAGACCGGUGCCAGCCGCCGCGGUAACACCGGCAGCUCUAGUGGUAACAAUUUUUAUUGGGCCUAAAGCGUCCGUAGCCGGUUUAAUAAGUCUCUGGUGAAAUCCUGCAGCUUAACUGUGGGAAUUGCUGGAGAUACUAUUAGACUUGAGACCGGGAGAGGUUAGAGGUACUCCCAGGGUAGAGGUGAAAUUCUGUAAUCCUGGGAGGACCGCCUGUUGCGAAGGCGUCUAACUGGAACGGUUCUGACGGUGAGGGACGAAAGUUAGGGGCGCGAACCGGAUUAGAUACCCGGGUAGUCCUAACUGUAAACGAUGCGGACUUGGUGUUGGGGUGGCUUUGAGCUGCUCAGUGCCGAAGGGAAGCUGUUAAGUCCGCCGCCUGGGAAGUACGGUCGCAAGACUGAAACUUAAAGGAAUU